RNAcentral lists this long non-coding RNA (1322 nucleotides) under Serinus canaria (Common canary). RNAcentral describes it as "lncRNA (ENSSCAG00000003894.1)". The record is from RNAcentral. Lineage: Eukaryota; Metazoa; Chordata; Aves; Passeriformes; Fringillidae.
GGUCUCCUUUGGGGGUCCCGCACAAAGUGCUGGGGUGUGCUGAAAGGGAGUAAAAAAGCGUCUCGGAAGUGCCGCUGUGUGCGGAGGGGUGCUGGCGGGACACGGCUCUGGUGGCUCCCGGACAGCACCCCCGAGCANNNNNNNNNNNNNNNNNNNNACCCCCGAGCACGCGCCCCAAGUCUCAUUGAUUUUAAUUGAUGAGCGUGCAAAGCUCGUUUCCUUCUCCUGGUUUUGGAUCCCUCAGGUCUCAGUCAUCCAAACCGUGCACAAGGAUUCUGUCUUUGUUUUUGUUUUCUGGUUUUUUCCCCCCUUAGAAUGCAGCAACCAAAGGACACGAACAUCCCAUCCUUUCAGAUAAAGGUUAAUUUCUGCCUGUGGAAAAUGCGGGGUAGGAGAGAAGACAGGAAAUCACCACGAGAAGGAUCUCCAGCCUUCCGCUUGGUGUGCCAGUGCAACAGGUUUAAAACUCAACAUUUCAUCUCCAGGCUGGUGGGAUCUCCGUGUUUUUCCUUCUCCAAGGAGGAGCAGCUCCACAAGGGACACACCGAGGGUGCUCGGUCUGGCUCUGGAGUCGGGAUGAAUUGUCCCCAGAGACCAGCAGGAACCACAGGCAUUAAAUUUGCCAGCUCUGAUCGCUGCAGGACUGAGAUAGUUCCUUCCCGCUGCACCUUCAAUGGGUUGUCCUGCUUCACGAUGAGAUAAGAGUUGCUUGGAGCCAGCAUAUUUUUAAUCUAGUCCUGCCUUGUGCCUGGCAAUUAAUAUUUAUUAAGGUCUGGACGGAGUGAUGGUAGUUUUUUUUUUCUUGAUGUGCAGAAGACAUGUUUGUUUAAUCUGCCACAGAAAAGAGUGGAAAUUAAGAUGAGCUUCAGAAAAGAGCUGGAAGCAAUUAGUUGUGUUAUUUUACUGCAACUUAAUUGCUGUAACAGUCAAGCUGACAAAGAAAACAUGGAUGCUAUAGCAGGGGUUUGCUGCUGGAUUUGAAAGGAGAAACAACUGCACUAAAAGGGACGUGUUAUGUUGUAAUUAACCUGUUUAUUAUUACUGAGCUGUACAUUUAAAAAAUCUGUUUAUUUAGGGUGCACUGGAGCAUGUGAUACAUAGUGAGCACUGACAGCAGCACACAGAAUUAAACUGUCCUUGUGUGCAAGCAGGGCUCUCUACAUCUCCUGUGGCCUGUGUGGGUCAGGGCCAGGACAAGCCUCUGGGAGCCCAGAUAAGCUCUCUGUGGCUCUCCCCUCUCUGCUGAGCCUGAACAAGAGAGAACGGGGAAAAUGAUAUCAACAGGAAGAACAUAAAAUAAGAAUGACCACACGGGGUCAGCU